ACCGCUUCUAGAAGAACAACCCGCACAAGCGUACAGCCAUCAAUGGAGUCACGUAUCGUAAUGAAGCACAUUAGGUCACUUUUCAAUAAAGAAAACGAGCAAGUUGUUUUGUGUAUCGAACAGAGAGAAAUUUAAAAACAGUGAUGUGUACGGAACUCUCUUAGGAGGAUUGGACACGAUACUCCUACAAGCCAUCGUUUUAACAUCUACUAUUUCAUAUAGUCGCCACUGGGAUUACAAAGGCAUACGAUGAUAGGCACAGCAUCGUGUUGUCCCAUUCGCCUCCAUGACCAAGCACUGAGAUUGUCAAGUGGGAACGUUGCCGCGAGUCUCAAAGGGGAAUUCAGCAUUCCGGUUGAAACUUCGGACACUUUCCUGAGAAUACAGAUCAACUGAUAAUAACACAUGCGUAAACAGGGUUCCGGUAUAACGCCGGCUGUGGCAGCCCUUGACAUCUGGCAUUUUAGACCUUGUUCACAAAAACACGUGCAUUAAUAAGACUAGUAUUAGCUACAAAAGAUGCCUGGUUCAGUUGAUUUCAUAGCAGCUAUGAAGUUUCUAUAUAUAUAUAUAUAUUAUAUAUAUAUAUAUAUUAGUCUUCACACGCGUCUACUACAGCAUAGCGUCAAAAAAGUCUUUUGGAAACCUUGUUUCUAUGUGCAUCAAAGCGAUCUUCAAGUUGACAUCUGAACAUAUCUUCAUUUGUUCGACUAGCAACAAUGGAGAACACGUUAUUAUCUCACGCAAUGAUCGCUGGAUUCGUGCUGCUCGGAAACUACCAAAUAA
Varroa destructor (honeybee mite) is the source of this 786-nucleotide long non-coding RNA. RefSeq lists it as uncharacterized. The record is from RefSeq and is a predicted model, not a curated record. NCBI's taxonomy places the organism in Eukaryota, Metazoa, Arthropoda, Arachnida, Mesostigmata, Varroidae.